Long non-coding RNA from Cygnus olor (mute swan), 4537 nucleotides. RefSeq lists it as uncharacterized. The record is from RefSeq and is a predicted model, not a curated record. The transcript is spliced from 2 exons. Lineage: Eukaryota; Metazoa; Chordata; Aves; Anseriformes; Anatidae.
CCUUCUUAGGCUGUGGGGAAGUCACAGUCUGCUCUUGUUUUACAACAGCGUAACUUAGCAAAAACAGUUCCUGCUGAGGAUGGAGAAUAUAUUCAUAUUUCAUAGCUGUGCAAAUAAAGUCUUUCACAGGCUGUGCUAAUGAAAGGCUUCAGCAGGGAAGAAGCAAGUCUGGAAAAACUAAUUACAGGUUUAGAGGGAGAAUGGAUCAUCUCUGUGUGUACUGGGGCGCUUAUCAGGUCUGACUGUGGGAUUUCUAGUUGUAAGGAUGUGGAAAUCCUCAGGGCUGUACACCUCUGGCCAAGGCUGUAUACCCCAGCCCUCACCUCGGCAGUCUUCCUCAUGAGUAGGUCUUGGUGGGUGCCUGUACAGUUUUUCCUUAGGCAGGCAGGUAGUGAAGGGGCUUUCCAAACACUCUGCAACACCAAUGCAUGCAGCUGUGGAAGGGCCCUUCGUUACUUAAGCACUCAUUAUUUAAGUCUGGCAGGCUGUAUAGUCUUCAUCCUUGCAGGUUUUCAAGACCAGGCUGGAUAAAGCUCUGAGCAACCUGGUCACAGCUGACCCUGCUUUGAGCAGGGGGUUGGGAUGGAGACCUCCUGAGUGCCCUUCCUGCCUGAAUUGUCCCAUGAACCCUCUGGAAGCCUGUAAUUGGGAAGUUAUUUCCCUGUGCACUGCUGUGUUUUGAUACUUCAGCUUUCCAGCAGCCUGCCUACAGCAAAGUCCUCCAGCCUCCGUUGUUCGUGUGCACUGAAAUCCUUGCCUGCACAGGGACUUGUCUCUUGAAUUUUGUGUUCAUCCUCCUAUGGUUCCUAAACCUGAGAGUGCCCACAAGGCCUGGGACUGGUACAGGAGCAGCCGGUGCUUAGCCAGGAGACUGCAGACCUGGGACCUGCCUCCGCUCCAGGACCAGCCUGGGGCUUUGCUUUCAGAGCUCAGAAGGAGACCACACACUUCUCUAGACAACUUGGAUUUCACUCGAAAUCUGUCUGGCAGGACCUGGCUUCCAGCCUGCUUGGAACCGUGGCCCAUGGAGAUUAAUGACAUGGAAAAUGAGGAACACUGACUGUAAAACUCUGAAAUUGUGGGAAAAGACAGCUUAGAGCCAGCCUCUGGUGAGGAGGUGUGUGACUUGUUCUGGGAUGGUGUUUGGAGAGGCAAAGGCUCCUGCUGCUCUUACAGGGGAACAGCCUCAUAUUUAACAAGAACGUCUUUAAAAAAGUCUGUCUCUCUGCUCACAAAGGAGCUGGACUGUCUGAAGUACAGCAAGUCCUUUCCUUCCCCUCCCAGAGGGUGUGAUCCAGGUUUCCGCGGUCAAGAACGUGUUCCUGAAAAUAUGGGACAGCACGGGCUGGAGCAAGGAAUCAGCCAGAAACUCCAGUCUCUGAUUUCACCUCCUGACGUGGAGAGGGCACGUCCCUGCCCUGUGCCCCAGCCUUCCUGCCCGUAAAUCAGCAGCUUCCUCGUGUGUUUUGGGGAGCCGUGAUAACUGGCAUGCAGCAGGUGCGAACCAUCCUCACCGCUUCCAAGGGUUUUCCUGCAAUGCCAAGGCACUGGGGAUGUGCUGCUGCUUUUGGGGACACUGAACUCUCAGGCUCCAGUCCGGUGUGUCUUGGUUAUGCGUUUGUGGCUGGACUGGUGAUGGUAUGAUGGUGCUCAGACUGGCAGGGGGAUUCUGGGGGUCUCAGGCAGCAGGAGGAACAGGGAAUGGGGAUGCAGGUGGUGGCUGUUUCCCCUGGGUGGGAUGUCUCUCUGGACUGGCUCCAUCAGGUCUCCCAGCCACAAGGAAAGCGAGUCAUCUCCUUGUCACAGGAAACAACGCUAAGAUGUGUCUCAAAAUCACCUCUCAUUUAAUGCUGGUAGGAAAGAAUUAGCAGGAAAAUACCAGCAAGAAAGUGUUUCUGUAAUACUGGGCAUGGGAAAGCAACACCUUAUGAAGCCACUGCCACGUGGCAAUGGUGCCAGCCUUGCUUUUUUUUUUGAGAUCUAAAGUAGAAGACAGAUGAAAUGCAGAUUCAAAAUCCUAUUUGUAUCCAGACAACAGGCUUUCAUCUGGGAAAGUCCUCUGAGCAAAGUGCAUCUCUCCACCAGGCAGGUAUAAUUCACUUAGAAACACAUCUUGGGUUUCUUGUCCCCAAAAAGGGGCUUGGGCACCUCUUACUGGAGCAGGAUGGCUUGGCUGUGGCCACGCUCUGUGCGGGAGGGAUGUGAGCAGGAGCCACGAAGCUGAGACCUUCCCUAGAAAGCUGCCAUUGGGCUCAGCAGCCUGCUGCUGGCUGGGGGAAGCAACUCCACUGUUCAGGUGAAUUUUGGGAUGUGGUUAUUUUCAAAACUCCUCGCUGUGUUUUUCAUCUGGAUAGUCACUACUCCAAAAAUAUCGUAGCUUGAAAUGUUUUUGCAAAUGAGGGCGGGUUUGAGGUAGGUACAGAGAUGCUGGGGGGGCGGGGGGGGGGGGGGGGGGUGGAUGGUGUGGAUAUGGGCUGAAGGAAAAAGGUGAUUUCCACCUGUCAGGUCAUGCACUUUGUCACUUUGUGCCCAAGGGUUUUUGUGCUUGUUUCCUGCCUGGCAGAGCUCUGUCCUCUGAGCCUCUCACUCUGUGUUUCCUUCCCCAAAUCCCAAUGGAACGAUAAAAGCCCUUUUCUCCCCAUUCUGAUUGCACGCACAGCUCCAAGCUGAGUCAAUGGAGGCAGUGGUGGUGAGCACACCCAGAGGUGGCACAGAGCAAAGGAUUUUUCAUUUUUCUGCUGCAGCUCCCUCUCUCAGAGCUGUCUGCUUCUGGAGCAGAGGUGUUUGGCCAUCCCUUCUGCGGCACGGCUGCGGACCUUUCCCAGCAGCCUGUCUCGAGCAGGACCGGUGGAUGCAGGCGCUGGAUAAAUCAGCAGAGCAGAGGCUCAGAGAGCAGUGAUUUAGGAGGCUGGGGCAUGUCCCCUUCUGGUUGUGACCCUGUGAAAGUGGGCUGGGGAGAGGGAGAGGACCGUUUGAAGUCCCAGCCAGCCGCCUUUCCUUUUCAGCCCGUUAAGCCAGAGCUGAGCUCGAUUGAAUUAACAUCCCCUGGGUGGAAACAGGGUGAGGGCAGGCUGCUGCCCCGUGGGUGAGCCCGCGGUGCCCGUGGCACGGAGAGGCCGGCUGUGGGACCAUCCCCGCCCUUCACAAACAGCCCUGGAGGGGCUGGGUGGGUGGUUUGGUCCUUUGAUUAUUUCCCCUAACCCAGCCCAAGCAAACAGUGAAGAAACCAGUGAGAAGGGAAGGUGAGGAUGAAUGAGCCCUUAGAUGGGGAAAGGUGGAAAUCACCUGGAAAGAAGAAAGAAAUAUAUAUGUGUGUAUGUAUAUAUAUAUUUAUAUACAUAAAUUUAUAUAAAAACCUGACCCAGCCCUGAACUUUUCUGGCAGGGAAGCAAAAUUCAUGAGGAAACAUAGCACAGCCUGCAAUUCCUCAUUAUAUCAGUGGGAGCGACGUUACCGGGGCCAGUAAAUCUGCCAGAUGGCAAGGGGGGGAUUAGGUGGGAAGGUGGGACCUGCAAGAGGGUGUUGUGUCUCCCCUCCCCAGCUCCCCCUCCACCCCCACCUUCCUUGUUCAGGAAUGUUAAUCACCCCAGCUCCCAAAGUGCUCUUGGAGGUUUGCUUACAAUAAAAUCUUUACAGUGCUUGGAAAGGGGUUUUCCUUCCUUCUCUUCCUUGCAUGCAAGGUUUGGGAGGGAUGGCAGCUCAAAGCUUCUGUCCUGUUGGCGUCUCUGGGUUCUCUCCACCCACAGGAGACUUGAGGUGAGGAACCUCUCAGUGAUGCUACAGGCUCCUGGUAUGACGGGGACCAAAACUUGCACUGGCAACAGUCUGUUUCCUUGUUUGUUAACGCCAGGUCCACGUGGUGCGGCAUCACCGGCAGCAUAAGCACAAUUGGGAUGAGAGGAGUGUGGACCACAUCUCUCCACAUUUCUUUGAGCAUCCUGCAAGCCCUCGGUGGGUUCCGGUUUGCUCAUCAGGUGGCUUUUGCCAUGUCAGGGCUGGGAUCAGGCUGCAGCCAGACCCUCUGAACGUGUUAAGGCUUGUUUGCCCAUUUGUCUGCCCAAGCAUUUUCAAGAAACUCACAGAAAUUUAAUUUGUCUGAGAUAACUGCCCUCGGUUAGGUUAGUCUGCGAACAAGGAGCAGGCUCAGAGUUAUCUGCAGGGCAUGGAAAAGGAAACAACCCGAUAGAUACAUGCCUCAAAAUCCCAUAAGCCUCGUUUGCUUAAGUAACCAGACCAACGCUGCCAGGUUAGGGUUGGUCCCAGCUGGGUGUUGGCUGCCCUGUGCUUCGCAACACUUCUGACACAUCAAGGAAAAGCCUUUUCAACAAACGCAUCAACAGAGAGAAAAUAAAAGAUUAGAAAUCAACAGACUGGCAGAGAACCCAGCUGGCACCUUUAUCCCCAGACUUAUUUAUUUUCCACCAUCAUUGUUGUUGUCCUUGCUGCUCCAUCACGCCAGGAAAAACCGCAGCUCGGUCCUCCUUCCCCAGCUGUCCUGCUGCUCCCCCUUCAGCCUCCGCUUCCUCCUCUUCCUCCU